AUGGCCAUAUCACAUUGAAACACUGGUUCUCAUACAUUCACUGAAGUUAAGCAACUUAGAGCCUGGUCAUUACCUAGAUGAGUGACUGCUUGGGAAUAUCAGGUAG
Molecule: non-coding RNA, 106 nt
Organism: Acanthosepion pharaonis
Lineage: Eukaryota; Metazoa; Mollusca; Cephalopoda; Sepiida; Sepiidae
Source: the annotation of a GenBank genome assembly